This 478-nucleotide ribosomal RNA is filed under the name uncultured bacterium. RNAcentral's name for it is "partial 16S ribosomal RNA". It matches the Rfam family "Bacterial small subunit ribosomal RNA", at positions 28 to 505 of the family's 1533-position model. The record is from RNAcentral.
GACGAACGCUGGCGGCGUGCUUAACACAUGCCAGUCGAACGAUGAAGAAAAGAAUUGAAGCUUCGGCAGAAAUUCAUUUCGGAUUAGUGGCAGACGGGUGAGUAACGCGUGAGCAACCUACCUCUUACAAAGGGAUAGCCUCGGGAAACCGGGAUUAAUACCAUAUAACAUUGCGACGAAGCAUUUCGAUGCAAUCAAAGCUACGGCGGUAAGAGAUGGGCUCGCGUCCCAUUAACCAGAUGGUGAGGUAACGGCUCACCAUAGUAACGAUGGGUAACCGGCCUGAGAGGGUGAACGGUCACACUGGAACUGAGACACGGUCCAGACUCCUACGGGAGGCAGCAGUGGGGAAUAUUGCACAAUGGAGGGAACUCUGAGGCAGCGACGCCGCGUGAGUGAUGAAGGAAUUCGUUUCGUAAAACUCUGUUCUAUGGGAAGAAAAGGACUGUACCAUAGGAGAAAGCUCCGGCUAAAUACG